GACGAACGCUGGCGGCGUGCUUAACACAUGCAAGUCGAACGGAAAGGCCCUGCUUUUGUGGGGUGCUCGAGUGGCGAACGGGUGAGUAACACGUGAGUAACCUGCCCUUGACUUUGGGAUAACUUCAGGAAACUGGGGCUAAUACCGGAUAGGAGUUCCUGCUGCAUGGUGGGGGUUGGAAAGUUUCGGCGGUUGGGGAUGGACUCGCGGCGUAUCAGCUUGUUGGUGGGGUAGUGGCUUACCAAGGCUUUGACGGGUAGCCGGCCUGAGAGGGUGACCGGCCACAUUGGGACUGAGAUACGGCCCAGACUCCUACGGGAGGCAGCAGUGGGGAAUAUUGCACAAUGGGCGGAAGCCUGAUGCAGCAACGCCGCGUGCGGGAUGACGGCCUUCGGGUUGUAAACCGCUUUCGCCUGUGACGAAGCGUGAGUGACGGUAAUGGGUAAAGAAGCACCGGCUAACUACGUG
RNAcentral lists this ribosomal RNA (468 nucleotides) under uncultured bacterium. RNAcentral describes it as "partial 16S ribosomal RNA". It matches the Rfam family "Bacterial small subunit ribosomal RNA", at positions 28 to 507 of the family's 1533-position model. The record is from RNAcentral.